ACGCACGCUGGCGGCAGGCCUCACCCCUGCCAGUCGCGCGCGCAUUUCGGUGCUAGCGGCGGACGGGUGAGUAACGCGUGGGAACGUGCCCUUUUCUGCGGAAUAGUCCUGGGAAACUGGGGGUAAUACCGCAUACGCCCUUUUGGGGAAAGAUUUAUCGGAGAAGGAUCGGCCCGCGUUGGAUUAGGUAGUUGGUGGGGUAAUGGCCCACCAAGCCGACGAUCCAUAGCUGGUUUGAGAGGAUGAUCAGCCACACUGGGACUGAGACACGGCCCAGACUCCUACGGGAGGCAGCAGUGGGGAAUCUUAGACAAUGGGGGCAACCCUGAUCGAGCCAUGCCGCGUGAGUGAUGAAGGCCUUAGGGUUGUAAAGCUCUUUCAGCUGGGAAGAUAAUGACGGUACCAGCAGAAGAAGCCCCGGCUAACUCCGUG
This 432-nucleotide ribosomal RNA is filed under the name uncultured bacterium. RNAcentral describes it as "partial 16S ribosomal RNA". It matches the Rfam family "Bacterial small subunit ribosomal RNA", at positions 29 to 507 of the family's 1533-position model. The record is from RNAcentral.